This 292-nucleotide ribosomal RNA is filed under the name uncultured bacterium. RNAcentral describes it as "partial 16S ribosomal RNA". It matches the Rfam family "Bacterial small subunit ribosomal RNA", at positions 505 to 796 of the family's 1533-position model. The record is from RNAcentral.
GUGCCAGCCGCCGCGGUAAUACGAACUGCGCGAACGUUAUUCGGAAUCACUGGGCUUACAGGGUGCGUAGGUGGCAGAGAAAGUAGGGUGUGAAAUGCCUUGGCUCAACCAAGGCACAGCGCUCUAAACUCCUUUGCUUGAGUGAGUCAGGGGUGCACGGAACUUCCGGUGGAGCGGUGAAAUGUGUUGAUAUCGGAAGGAACACCGGCGGCGAAAGCGGUGCACUGGGGCUUAACUGACACUGAGGCACGAAAGCCAGGGGAGCGAACGGGAUUAGAAACCCCCGUAGUCC